This is a long non-coding RNA of Passer domesticus (house sparrow), 538 nucleotides long. RefSeq lists it as uncharacterized. Lineage: Eukaryota; Metazoa; Chordata; Aves; Passeriformes; Passeridae. The record is from RefSeq and is a predicted model, not a curated record. The transcript is spliced from 4 exons.
CCAAAGCAGCAUAACACAGGAGAAGCAACUCAGAUAAUAUUGUUUUCAUUUUUCUCUGAGGCUUCUCAGCUUCUCAGGAGAAGAAUCCUGGGCAACGAGAUUUUUCAGAAAACAUGAUAGUGACACAAGAGAGCUAAGUAGUAAAGCAGUUACCAGGAAGCACAGCACAGUACACCUUUUGAAUCAAAUCAGGGCAAACCCCACUAUUUCACUCAGUGCCUUCCACAGGAUUACUUGAAGAAGUAAGCUUUAGAUGGACAGUUCUUGCCAAUAUAGGCACAACCAUUCUUGUUCUGCAGUCAGUCAGCAGACUUCACACGCAGAGAUAUGUACAGCUUCCCCUUGGGUCAGCAGCCAUGACUCGCAGUGCAGCGAGAAAGCAUUCAGUGGGUACACCUGCAUUGCUUCUCCACCAGUUAAAUCAGAGAAACAGUUAAUAAAAUUCUAUGUGUGAACUAGUGUUCUACACAUUUAAGUUCUGCAGUGGAGGAUUUCAUAUGGAUAGAUAUAUUCUUCUGUCUUUGGCAAACAGCAGAGA